GUGGGGAAUAUUGGUCAAUGGGGGAAACCCUGAACCAGCAACGCCGCGUGAAGGAAGAAGGCUUUCGGGUUGUAAACUUCUUUUAUGUGGGACGAAAAAAAUGACGGUACCACAUGAAUAAGCCACGGCUAACUACGUGCCAGCAGCCGCGGUAAUACGUAGGUGGCAAGCGUUGUCCGGAUUUACUGGGUGUAAAGGGCGCGUAGGCGGAUGUGCAAGUCAGAUGUGAAAUACCAGGGCUCAACCCUGGGGCUGCAUUUGAAACUGUGCAUCUUGAGUGAUGGAGAGGCAAGCGGAAUUCCUAGUGUAGCGGUGAAAUGCGUAGAUAUUAGGAGGAACACCAGUGGCGAAGGCGGCUUGCUGGACAUUAACUGACGCUGAGGCGCGAAAGCGUGGGGAGCAAACAGGAUUAGAAACCCUGGUAGUCC
This 428-nucleotide ribosomal RNA is filed under the name uncultured bacterium. RNAcentral's name for it is "partial 16S ribosomal RNA". It matches the Rfam family "Bacterial small subunit ribosomal RNA", at positions 354 to 796 of the family's 1533-position model. The record is from RNAcentral.